AUUGAACGCUGGCGGCAGGCCUAACACAUGCAAGUCGAACGAGUGGCGGACGGGUGAGUAAUGUCUGGGAAACUGCCUGAUGGAGGGGGAUACCUACAGGAAAAGGUAGCUCCUCCUGACUACCAUCAGAUGCGCCCAGAUGGGAUUAGCUUGUUGGUGGGGUAACGGCUCACCAAGGCGACGAUCCCUAGCUGGUCUGAGAGGAUGACCAGCCACACUGGAACUGAGACACGGUCCAGACUCCUACGGGAGGCAGCAGUGGGGAAUAUUGCACAAUGGGCGCAAGCCUGAUGCAGCCAUGCCGCGUGUAUGAAGAAGGCCUUCGGGUUGUAAAGUACUUUCAGCGGGGAGGCGUUACCAACAGAAUAAGCACCGGCUAACUUCGUGCCAGCAGCCGCGGUAAUAC
RNAcentral lists this ribosomal RNA (406 nucleotides) under uncultured bacterium. RNAcentral describes it as "partial 16S ribosomal RNA". It matches the Rfam family "Bacterial small subunit ribosomal RNA", at positions 30 to 526 of the family's 1533-position model. The record is from RNAcentral.